UACGAAGGGGGCUAGCGUUGCUCGGAAUCACUGGGCGUAAAGGGUGCGUAGGCGGGUCUUUAAGUCAGGGGGGAAAUCCUGGAGCUCAACUCCAGAACUGCCUUUGAUACUGAAGAUCUUGAGUUCGGGAGAGGUGAGCGGAACUGCGAGUGUAGAGGUGAAAUUCGUAGAUAUUCGCAAGAACACCAGUGGCGAAGGCGGCUCACUGGCCCGAUACUGACGCUGAGGCACGAAAGCGUGGGGAGCAAACAGG
RNAcentral lists this ribosomal RNA (253 nucleotides) under uncultured bacterium. RNAcentral describes it as "partial 16S ribosomal RNA". It matches the Rfam family "Bacterial small subunit ribosomal RNA", at positions 524 to 776 of the family's 1533-position model. The record is from RNAcentral.